GCGGGUAUGGCGAAAUUGGCAUACGCACCAGAUUUAGGUUCUGGCGGAGAAAUCCGUGCAGGUUCAACUCCUGUUACCCGCACCA
This 85-nucleotide transfer RNA is filed under the name Ruminococcus sp. RNAcentral describes it as "tRNA-Leu". It matches the Rfam family "tRNA". From Rfam's summary of the family: Transfer RNA (tRNA) molecules are approximately 80 nucleotides in length. Their secondary structure includes four short double-helical elements and three loops (D, anti-codon, and T loops). Lineage: Bacteria; Bacillati; Bacillota; Clostridia; Eubacteriales; Oscillospiraceae. The record is from RNAcentral.